GACGAAUGCUGGCGGCGUGCCUAAUACAUGCAAGUUGAGCGAUGAAGAUUGGUGCUUGCACCAAUUUGAAGAGCAGCGAACGGGUGAGUAACGCGUGGGGAAUCUGCCUUUGAGCGGGGGACAACAUUUGGAAACGAAUGCUAAUACCGCAUAACAACUUUAAACAUAAGUUUUAAGUUUGAAAGAUGCAAUUGCAUCACUCAAAGAUGAUCCCGGGUUGUAUUAGCUAGUUGGUGAGGUAAAGGCUCACCAAGGCGAUGAUACAUAGCCGACCUGAGAGAGUGAUCGGCCACAGUGGGACGUAGACACGGCCCAAACUCCUACGGUAGGCAGCAGUAGGGAAUCUUCGUCAAUGGACGAAAGUCUGACCGAGCAACGCCGAGUGAGUGAAGAAUGUUUUCGGAUCGUAAAACUCUGUUGGUAGAGAAGAACGUUGGUGAAAGUGGAAAGCUCAUCAAGUGACGGUAACUACCCAGAAAGGGACGGCUAACUACGUGCCAGCAGCCGCGGUAA
This 513-nucleotide ribosomal RNA is filed under the name uncultured bacterium. RNAcentral's name for it is "partial 16S ribosomal RNA". It matches the Rfam family "Bacterial small subunit ribosomal RNA", at positions 28 to 523 of the family's 1533-position model. The record is from RNAcentral.